CAAUGUAUUGAAUAAAAAAACUUUAGGCCUUUUGAUCAAGGAGUACAUCUUACAAUACAUUACAAUAUACACAUAAAACGGAAGAUAGAAGAAGGAACUAUGCCUUAUAGUAUAAUUUCUCAUCCUCCUUGGCUCUUAUUUUUGCCUACUAAUGAGAGGAAAUAGAAGGGGGAAGAACUCUCUCUCUCUUUAUUCUCGACUCUCACCUAAAAUCUUAGGGAAAAGGAAGUUAGAUGAUGUUUGAGCUUGCUCUCUUGCCAAAAUUGUGCAUGCCUUGUUCUGAAGUGAGAGGAUUUAUUUAUAGGCCAGAGUAAGACGCCACACACCAUUAAUGUUCUGAAAAGUUGCAGCGGCGCCGUACAGUCUAUCCUCUUGUCCUUUUUUCAAAUUUUGCACCAACCAAUCUUGUAUGCUAGUGCUCUAAAUGCCUAGCUUUCUUCUUUGACGUUGAAGGCCUUGGUUGAACGUGCCUUCUCAUUGACAUGGUCGGAAUUGAAGGCCUUGGUUGAACGUGCCUUCUCACUGACAUGGUCGGAAUUGAUAUGCAAAAGUAAAGAAUUAUGCAAAGUAUAUAGGCAAGCUCGUUAUCAACAUAUGUACGUUCGGAAAUUAAAGUGGUUGCGAAGGGCACUUACCUAAACCGCCUUGACAAAAAAAUAUUUGUAGUUUGACCUUGACUUUUACCCGUAGAUAGGUGCAAGCACGGGUGUCGAACCCAAGGGGUGUAGGAUAAAUGUUUGCUUGAAAAUAUUGAGAUUAGUAACAAAAAGGAAGGAAAAGCAUUGGAAACAA
RNAcentral lists this long non-coding RNA (792 nucleotides) under Cucumis sativus (cucumber). RNAcentral describes it as "long non-coding RNA (CSAT_LNC002126)". The record is from RNAcentral. Lineage: Eukaryota; Viridiplantae; Streptophyta; Magnoliopsida; Cucurbitales; Cucurbitaceae.